This 478-nucleotide ribosomal RNA is filed under the name uncultured bacterium. Its description in RNAcentral is "partial 16S ribosomal RNA". It matches the Rfam family "Bacterial small subunit ribosomal RNA", at positions 28 to 507 of the family's 1533-position model. The record is from RNAcentral.
GAUGAACGCUGGCGGCGUGCUUAACACAUGCAAGUCGAACGGGAAUUAUUUUAUUGACACUUCGGUCGAUUUAAUGUAAUUCUAGUGGCGGACGGGGGAGUAACGCGUGGGUAACCUGCCUUAUACAGGGGGAUAACAGUCAGAAAUGGCUGCUAAUACCGCAUAAGCGCACAGAGCUGCAUGGCUCAGUGUGAAAAACUCCGGUGGUAUAAGAUGGACCCGCGUUGGAUUAGCUUGUUGGCAGGGUAACGGCCUACCAAGGCGACGAUACAUAGCCGGCCUGGGAGGGUGAACGGCCACAUUGGGACUGAGCCACGGCCCAGACUCCUACGGGAGGCAGCAGUGGGGAAUAUUGCACAAUGGGGGCAACCCUGAUGCAGCGACGCCGCGUGAAGGAAGAAGUAUGUCGGUAUGUAAACUUCUAUCAGCAGGGAAGAUAGUGACGGUACCUGACGAAGAAGCCCCGGCUAACUACGUG